GGAAGCAAGCGUUGAAACGCGGAUGAUUGACCCCAUCGACACGAAACACUUGUCGCAAUUAAUAGGUAACGAUCUUCUAAGGAACCUAACCGAUAGGAUGGAUUACCCAGAGGAAAAAACAGAUUAAAAAUCGAACGUUCUGAGAGCGCGUGGGCAACAAUAAGAGACAGUACAUCUGCUGAUUAAAAUCCCAUAGAAAUCAUAGGCAGAAUCAGUUCACUCCAGUUCAAUCCGUUGCACAUUCCGUGACAUUAUAUGUCCGAGUUUGUGACGUUCGGAUUCGUAUUCGUCAUAUUUAAAUUUGACGCGGCAUUGUGAGAAUUUAGUCAACAAGUUCUUUUGCAACUUCCGAACACUCUGAGUGCCAACCGUCGACCAGCUCUCCGCCGUUGUAAGCUGAAUCCGCUCCGCCAAACACCAAAUUAUUCGCACCUUCAUAAAGUUCAAGCAACAUGCGUAACCGAGUCUCUGAACAUAAGUCUCGAAGAGCCAUUAAGAACUGUCGGAAUCAUCGAAACAGGAAGGUCCGGAAGCUUGGCGCAUCGUUAUCGCUCUCCGAAAAAUUAAACAAUCUGCGAGGAGAAAAUUCUGUUUUGCCUAGCGCUCUAACUAAUUUAAGAACUUCCGACGAACCGACCGUUUCAUCUCCAUCAGUCUAAAAUCCGUCCCCCAAAUCAUUCUCUCUUUUCCCCUGUUGUCGUCCCUCCCCCUCUUACUCCCCUGGAUCUCAUGUAGAAACAGAUUUUAAACAAUCACCAGGGUCACCUUCUUCUACUUUUGAUCCCUUUGCAGAGCCUUUAGUGUGUUCUCGGGAUUCAACCCUUUCUCCUACAGAUUUUCCUCCUACACCUUCCCCCGAUUUUUUUCAUCGUAACCCCGAUUCACCUAUUCGAAGACCCCCGAAAGAUCCAUACUCCCCCGCGUUAAAGUUUUCUCAAGAAAACCCGCAUUCCUACUCAUUAUUUACUCCCGAAGAAAUAGAAAAUAUCGUAACCGAAAAUAUCGAAGCGAAUCGAAGAAUAGCCAAUGAAUUGGAAGAAAUCUUUGACUUGGUCCAAGAACUACCUGAAUAACCAAAAAUUUCCUAAUCACAAUAUACACACCCACACAUGCACAUUUAUUUAUAAUUUUCGUUAAGCACAAAUGUAACCAAUUAGAACUUAAGUUUA
Molecule: long non-coding RNA, 1169 nt
Organism: Solenopsis invicta (red fire ant)
Lineage: Eukaryota; Metazoa; Arthropoda; Insecta; Hymenoptera; Formicidae
Exons: 3
Source: RefSeq, a predicted model, not a curated record